Molecule: ribosomal RNA, 500 nt
Filed under: uncultured bacterium
Lineage: Bacteria
Description: partial 16S ribosomal RNA
Rfam family: Bacterial small subunit ribosomal RNA
Source: RNAcentral
AAUCAACGCUGGCGGCGUGCCUAACACAUGCAAGUCGAACGCGAAAGCCCCGCAAGGGGUAAGUAGAGUGGCAAUCGGGUGAGUAACACGUGGGUGACCUGCCUUCGAGUGGGGGAUAACGUCCCGAAAGGGACGCUAAUACCGCAUGACAUCCUGCUUUUGAAAAAGCGGAGAUCAAAGCUGGGGAUCGCAAGACCUAGCGCUUGAAGAGGGGCCCGCGCCUGAUUAGCUAGUUGGUGAGGUAACGGCUCACCAAGGCGACGAUCAGUAUCCGGCCUGAGAGGGCGGACGGACACACUGGGACUGAGACACGGCCCAGACUCCUACGGGAGGCAGCAGUGGGGAAUUGUUCGCAAUGGGCGCAAGCCUGACGACGCAACGCCGCGUGGAGGACGAAGAUCUUCGGGUCGUAAACUCCUGUCGAGCGGGACGAACGCUUCGCGGAUGAAUAAUCCGCGGAAUUGACGGUACCGCUAAAGGAAGCCCCGGCUAACUCCGUG